RNAcentral lists this ribosomal RNA (253 nucleotides) under uncultured bacterium. Its description in RNAcentral is "partial 16S ribosomal RNA". It matches the Rfam family "Bacterial small subunit ribosomal RNA", at positions 524 to 776 of the family's 1533-position model. The record is from RNAcentral.
UACGUAGGAUGCAAGCGUUGUUCGGAAUUACUGGGCGUAAAGAGUACGUAGGCGGUUUGGUAAGUCUGAUAUUAAAGACCGGAGCUCAACUUCGGGACUGUAUCGGAAACUGUCAGACUAGAGGACAAUAGAGGAAGUCGGAAUUCUCAGUGUAGCGGUGAAAUGCGUAGAUAUUGGGAAGAACACCAGUGGCGAAAGCGGACUUCUGGGUUGUUACUGACGCUGAGACGCGAAAGCGUGGGGAGCGAACAGG